UUUUUUUUUAAAGAUAUCAUGUUUUAUAGGAAGGGGCCCUGAAUUCAUGUAAUGUCCCAAUGAUUGGUCCAUGCAGUCAUUCACAUUUCCCAUCAGAACAGGUGUCUGACAACAGACAUGGGAAAGAGAAGUAAAGAAGAAAUACUACACAACUUGGCAUCCUUCUUGGAGAGAUAAGCACAAGUUAACUCUGGCCAACCAAGCAGAGAGUAAAAAAAAGGGGUGGGGGGGUUGAAGGAAAGCUUGGAUUAAACUAUAUGACUACUUGGAGAAUUUUUUUGUAUGCUCCGAGUUGCUUCAGGUUUCCAUUCCAAACAUCAUUCCAAGUCAAGCAGACAGAACAUUGCUUAAGUUAUAUAACUGUGUAUGAGUUUUCUUUUUUUUAUUUUUAUUUUUAUUUUUUUUAAUUGGUUGUUCAAAACAUUACAAAGCUCAUGACAUAUCAUCUUCCAUACAUUUGAUUCAAGUGGGUUAUGAACUCCCAUUUUUUACCCCAAAUAAAAGUUGCAGAAUCACAUCGGUUACACAUCCACACUUUUACAUAAUACCAUAUUAAUGACUGUUGUAUUCUGCUACCUUUCCUAUGUGUAUGAGUUUUCUAAAGCUGGAGUGCUUCUGUUCAGAGUCCUUUCAGAAUUUGCAUUUCAGUGUCUUUGUAAGUCCAGAAAAAAGGUCCCUACAAAUUGGAAUUUGUACUUGGGCAUCUCCUGGAUCAAAGCUGGUUCUGAUCUAAUCACACUGAAAUAAAAUCAUUCAGAAGUCAGGAACAAAAAUAACACACACAAAACUAUGUUUUGUUAGUGCUGAAAAGUCAAUUGUAAUUAUUAUUUUGCAAUAUAUGGCUAAGUAAAUCUGUUAACAUUUCUCUCUCUCUCUUUCUCUCUCUCUCUCUCUCUCUCUCUCUCUCUCGUUGUUGUUAUUUGGGCCCUUAUUCCCUUGAGGUUAAAUUUUAUUCUAGCUCUAGCACAUUCUUCAAAAUUUAUUUUAACAUGUAAAAUUUCCUAGGUUUAUUUGUGCAAAACGUUUACCUUAAUGUCUGACAUAUUUUGUUAUAUGCUGACUAUAGUUGUUCUUUCCCUAUCAUAUCUUUUCAUCUAGUCAAUUUUGAGAUUGAUUCUCAACUUAGGAGUUUUAAAAUGUCAUUGCAAUAUAAAAAUCCUUCUCAGUACUCAUAGUCAACUUUUAAGUAGAGAAUAAUUGCUUUUUCAAUUCUGGAAAUAUGUUUGUUCCUAUCUUUGCUAAUUUGGCUCUGCUUCCACUUCUUUCACUCUUGGAUUCUGAAAUUCCAAGUGAAGUUUAGCCAACGUCUUUGAGUUGGUUCCCU
RNAcentral lists this long non-coding RNA (1324 nucleotides) under Marmota monax (woodchuck). Lineage: Eukaryota; Metazoa; Chordata; Mammalia; Rodentia; Sciuridae. The record is from RNAcentral.